GCUCCUCCUCUCCAGGAUCCAGGACCUUGUGACUACUCAGCGACUGUCAGAGGCAGCAACCUUAUUGCUGUGCUUAUUACCUGGUAUUUAUUGUCUGUCUGAUCACCUCCACCAUCACUACCACUAGAAGGUAAGCUCCUUGAGGGCAGCAGCCACAUAUGCCCAGCACCUAGAAGAAUGCCUGGC
RNAcentral lists this long non-coding RNA (186 nucleotides) under Dasypus novemcinctus (nine-banded armadillo). RNAcentral's name for it is "lncRNA (ENSDNOG00000051617.1)". Lineage: Eukaryota; Metazoa; Chordata; Mammalia; Cingulata; Dasypodidae. The record is from RNAcentral.